RNAcentral lists this ribosomal RNA (423 nucleotides) under uncultured soil bacterium. Its description in RNAcentral is "bacterial SSU rRNA". It matches the Rfam family "Bacterial small subunit ribosomal RNA", at positions 26 to 459 of the family's 1533-position model. The record is from RNAcentral.
AGAUUGAACGCUGGCGGCAUGCCUAACACAUGCAAGUCGAACGGGAGUAGCAAUACUCUAGUGGCGGACGGGUGAGGAAUACGUAGGAAUUUGCCCUUAAGUGGGGGAUAACCCGGGGAAACCCGGAUUAAUACCGCAUGACCUCGAAAGAGCAAAGUGGGGGAUCGCAAGACCUCACGCUUUUGGAGAAGCCUACGUCGGAUUAGCUAGUUGGUGAGGUAAUGGCUCACCAAGGCGACGAUCCGUAACUGGUCUGAGAGGAUGAUCAGUCACACCGGAACUGAGACACGGUCCGGACUCCUACGGGAGGCAGCAGUGGGGAAUAUUGGACAAUGGGCGCAAGCCUGAUCCAGCAAUGCCGCGUGUGUGAAGAAGGCCUUCGGGUUGUAAAGACACUUUAAGUAGGGUAAGAAAAACGUACGA